This 259-nucleotide ribosomal RNA is filed under the name uncultured Gardnerella sp. RNAcentral describes it as "partial 16S ribosomal RNA". It matches the Rfam family "Bacterial small subunit ribosomal RNA", at positions 96 to 354 of the family's 1533-position model. The record is from RNAcentral. Lineage: Bacteria; Bacillati; Actinomycetota; Actinomycetes; Bifidobacteriales; Bifidobacteriaceae.
UGGCGAACGGGUGAGUAAUGCGUGACCAACCUGCCCCAUGCUCCAGAAUAGCUCUUGGAAACGGGUGGUAAUGCUGGAUGCUCCAACUUGACGCAUGUCUUGUUGGGAAAGUGUUUAGUGGCAUGGGAUGGGGUCGCGUCCUAUCAGCUUGUAGGCGGGGUAAUGGCCCACCUAGGCUUCGACGGGUAGCCGGCCUGAGAGGGCGGACGGCCACAUUGGGACUGAGACACGGCCCAAACUCCUACGGGAGGCAGCAGGG